Molecule: non-coding RNA, 344 nt
Organism: Pelobates cultripes (western spadefoot toad)
Lineage: Eukaryota; Metazoa; Chordata; Amphibia; Anura; Pelobatidae
Source: the annotation of a GenBank genome assembly
GGGGCCAGCUGCAGCAUCACCAGCAUGGAGUGGGAAAAAAGGCAAGUAAAAAAAACACUUUUCCCAUCUGAAACGAGGUGGGGAAGGUCACCUAAACAUACACACUCACUGACAGACACACACUUACUGACAAAGAUACAUAUUCACUCACUCGACACAUACUCACUGAUACUGCAAUACACUCUGCGGGGCACACAAAGGAGCAGAGCAGGGAGAUUGCAGCUCCUUCACCGCCACACUCUCCAUGAGCUGUCCCGACCGCGCAAGUUGUCCGUGAGCCGCCACCCACCUGCCUUAGCCCUCCGAGAGCAGACUGCUCUCAGACAACAGGUCACCGCGGGUGC